CAUGUCUUUUUGAGUUUAAUUUAAAGUCUGAUCUGCUCAAUGAAUAUUAAAUAGCCGCAGUAUUUUAACUGUGCGAAGGUAGCAUAAUAAUUAGUUUCUUAAUUAGAAACUGGAAUGAAUGAUUGGACAAGAAAAUAUCUGUCUCUUUUUUAAAUUUUUUGAAUUUUAUUUUUAAGUGAAAAAGCUUAAAUUUUUAUAAAAGACGAGAAGACCCUAUAGAGUUUAAUAUUAUUGAGUAAUUUAAAUUUGGAAAUAAAAUUUUAUUUAAUUUUAUUUGAUUGGGGUGAUUUAAAGAUAAAAAAAAUUCUUUAAUUUGUAAAUUGGUGAUGUCUAAACUAUAAAUCUAUAUUUUAUAAAAAUAAAAUAAAUUACCUUAGGGAUAACAGCGUAAUUUUUCUUUAAAGUUCACAUUAAAAGGAAAGUUUGCGACCUCGAUGUUGGAUUAAAAUUAAUUUUUGGUGCAAUAACUUAAAAAUUAGGUCUGUUCGACCUUUAAAAUUUUACAUGAUCUGAGUUUAAAUCGGCGUGAGCCAGGUUGGAUUCUAUCUUUAGAAUAUUAAUAUAUUUUAGUACGAAAGGACCAAAUAUUUAUUAAAUUAAUU
RNAcentral lists this ribosomal RNA (602 nucleotides) under Flabellotrichalus sp. BM0150. RNAcentral describes it as "partial 16S ribosomal RNA". It matches the Rfam family "Bacterial large subunit ribosomal RNA", at positions 1816 to 2713 of the family's 2925-position model. The record is from RNAcentral. Lineage: Eukaryota; Metazoa; Arthropoda; Insecta; Coleoptera; Lycidae.